CUUUAGGGGCUGUGAGGGACACAGGGUGAAAAGGGUGCUCUGAAGGGUCACUGAGGGGCCCUAAGGGUGCCCUGAGGGAGACCAGACGGGCCGGGGCGGGUCGGUCGCCGAGGCUGCGCUGCGUUUCCCGCCCUCCCCUCAGCGCCCUCAGCCCCCUCAGCGCCCUCAGCCCCCUCAGCGCCCUCAGCGCCCUCAGCGCCCUCAGCCGCAGUGUCCCGCCACUCCCCGGUCUGUGAGGUGGGCGCAGGUAAAAGGCGCUUCGGAGAAGCUCGAUAAAAGGUUGUGGAAUCGCCCUAGAGAAGAUUUUGGGCUGUUAAAGACGUUAAACAGUGUUGAGCAGCAGCGUCAGAAGGGCAGCACGGUCUUUCAGUGGAGUUAUUGAGGAAAAAGCUUCUUGAACUCCGUCACCCUUGGUGAGAAGCGAGGAAGAAGAAAGAAGAGACUGGAGUGUAACUUCGAGGCAAGAGAAAAGAAGAAGAGCAGCAGCAUAGAGCUAAAGAGUGGACCGGCGAGGCAAGAGCCAGGAAGAAGAGCGUCGGCUUCGCGCUCAAGAGGGGGUGGGAGAAGGGCCCUCUGGGCAAAGGCCCCUCCCUGGCAUGACCCGGGGCAGGGAUCCCUAAGAGUCCGGCGGGCAGCUUCCGGCUGCGCCGGCCGGCUUGGCGCUGGGCGACCUCCCUGUAAGCAGGGCCAGGUCCUUUGCUUUGCUUGGCGUUGGCCUUUUGCCAUCGCGCUCCUGUGGCUGCCCGGAGAGAGGGGCAACCGCCCUGUAAGGAGGGCGAGAGUGCCCGCCUCCGCGCCCGAGGGGGGAAACGGAGCUCUCCCGGACCCCCAGCCCGCCCGCCCUGUAAGCAGGGCAGGGCUUUUUCCCUUGGCACCUUUGGUGCCUGCUGGCGGCCCCUAGCCAGAGUGACCCCCCGUAGUCGGGGUGCGUCACAGCCCGUGUCCCUUGCCCCUCAGCGCGCUGAGGCCCUUCUGGCCCGUGCGCAGCCCGGGGGCGAGCCCGAGGCUCUCCUGUCCUGCUCGGCGGCAGGGCCGGCUCCCCACGGCUCGGCGCACAGAGCUUGCUCCCUCUUCUGGGACGUUCCCCCUUUGUG
Long non-coding RNA from Pipra filicauda (Wire-tailed manakin), 1094 nucleotides. RefSeq lists it as uncharacterized. The record is from RefSeq and is a predicted model, not a curated record. NCBI's taxonomy places the organism in Eukaryota, Metazoa, Chordata, Aves, Passeriformes, Pipridae. The transcript is spliced from 2 exons.